UACGAAGGGUGCAAACGUUGCUCGGAAUUAUUGGGCGUAAAGAGCUCGUAGGCGGUCUGUCGCGUCGGCUGUGAAAUCCCGAGGCUCAACCUCGGGUCUGCAGUCGAUACGGGCAAACUGGAGUGUUGCAGGGGAGACUGGAAUUCCUGGUGUAGCGGUGAAAUGCGCAGAUAUCAGGAGGAACACCGGUGGCGAAGGCGGGUCUCUGGGCAACAACUGACGCUGAGGAGCGAAAGCGUGGGGAGCGAACAGG
RNAcentral lists this ribosomal RNA (253 nucleotides) under uncultured bacterium. RNAcentral describes it as "partial 16S ribosomal RNA". It matches the Rfam family "Bacterial small subunit ribosomal RNA", at positions 524 to 776 of the family's 1533-position model. The record is from RNAcentral.